GCAAAGCGGUGGCUGUCUGUGGAUUGGCUAGUACUAAAAUAUCCAUUGGGUGGCAGUAAUACUAUCCUCUUUAUGACUUGCAGCAAACCAGAGAAUGCAUUCAAUCAAAUGAACCGAUCUUGUAGAAACACUGGAAUCAUUUAUGCAUUGCAGUUUCUCUUUCUUGUUUUCGCUCCUUCUUCUCUGGGAUAUUUUGAGUGGAUUCUGGCUAUUAAUCAAGAUCUCGUGCUGUUCGCGGUUUGCUUGUCGUUUUCGCUCAGGAUUAGCAUCAUUCAAGAUAAACGCAAAGCUGCUUCCCCCCACCCACUCUCUUUUGAAAAAUCAUUUUUGGGGUCUGCUGAAGAGAGCUAGGACCCAGGAGACACCUUCCCAAACAGCAGGGGUUGUGUGCUUUCACAUAGCAGUACUGUACAAGGAAAACCCCGUCGGAUCUGUUAUUGCGGGAUACUUGUGAAAUACACAUAGGAUUCUUUCUUAUGGCUGCAUCCCGGAUCUGGAAAUUUUACUUGGGGACCAGGAAGAUUUGAAAGGCUACAUGUAUCCAGAAGAUUUGCAAGCAAGACUCCGAUUCUUGUCAUAGAGCUCACAGACUUCUUCACUUAUCGUCCGUUUUCCUUCUUUAAAAAAAAAAAAAAAAAACCAAAAACAAAAAACCAAAAGAACAAAAAACCACACAUUUAAAAUUUUUCUCCUCUUUUUCUGAUCUCUCCUCCUUCAGUCUCUCAUUUUUUAUUCUGCCUAUUCUUUUUUUCGUCCUAGUAUUUUUUCCCUUUCCGUGCUCUGCACCUGGAUUGUAUCGUCACUAAACAAUCGGGCACUUUGAGAACUAACUGGAGACAGUCUUGUAGGGAAGAUCUGUAUGGAAUUAUCUGCUUUUAUGGUGAACUUGGCAUUUGUGAAUGGGUAUCUUGUUCACAAUAUUAAUUGCUAGCCAAAACAAGAAAAAGAACACAGGAGUAAAACGUGGAUUUUUCUGAAUACGCAUUGUGAUGACCAGCAAUUACCUUACCGACUGAUAUCCAGAGGAGAAUAAUUUGGAAGACUGUUGUGGGAACGGCCUUUAAGAGCUGGAAGAUGAAAGCUCCGAUUCCGCAUUUGAUUCUCUUAUAUGCUACUUUCACUCAGAGUCUGAAGGUUGUGACCAAAAGAGGUUCUGCUGAUGGAUGCACUGAUUGGUCUGUUGAUAUCAAGAAAUACCAAGUUUUGGUGGGAGAGCCUGUUAGAAUCAAGUGUGCACUCUUUUACGGUUAUAUCAGAACAAACUACUCCCUUGCCCAAAGUGCUGGACUCAGCUUAAUGUGGUAUAAAAGCUCUGGUCCGGGAGAUUUUGAAGAGCCCAUUGCCUUUGAUGGAAGUAGAAUGAGCAAAGAAGAAGACUCCAUUUGGUUCAGACCAACACUACUACAAGACAGUGGGCUUUAUGCCUGUGUCAUCAGGUAUCUUUUAAUGAAAUUAUUAUUCACUCUAUGAAA
Molecule: non-coding RNA, 1472 nt
Organism: Peromyscus maniculatus bairdii (prairie deer mouse)
Lineage: Eukaryota; Metazoa; Chordata; Mammalia; Rodentia; Cricetidae
Source: RefSeq, a predicted model, not a curated record